This 468-nucleotide ribosomal RNA is filed under the name uncultured bacterium. RNAcentral describes it as "partial 16S ribosomal RNA". It matches the Rfam family "Bacterial small subunit ribosomal RNA", at positions 28 to 507 of the family's 1533-position model. The record is from RNAcentral.
GACGAACGCUGGCGGCGUGCUUAACACAUGCAAGUCGAACGGAAAGGCCCUGCUUUUGUGGGGUGCUCGAGUGGCGAACGGGUGAGUAACACGUGAGUAACCUGCCCUUGACUUUGGGAUAACUUCAGGAAACUGGGGCUAAUACCGGAUAGGAGCUCCUGCUGCAUGGUGGGGGUUGGAAAGUUUCGGCGGUUGGGGAUGGACUCGCGGCUUAUCAGCUUGUUGGUGGGGUAGUGGCUUACCAAGGCUUUGACGGGUAGCCGGCCUGAGAGGGUGAGCGGCCACAUGGGGACUGAGAUACGGACCAGACGCCUAUGGGAGGCAGCAGUGGGGAAUAUUGCACAGUGGGCGGAAGCCUGAUGCAGCAACGCCGCGUGCGGGAUGACGGUCUUCGGGUUGUAAACCGCUGUCGCCUGUGACGAAGCGUGAGUGACGGUAAUGGGUAAAGAAGCACCGGCUAACUACGUG